RNAcentral lists this ribosomal RNA (490 nucleotides) under uncultured bacterium. RNAcentral describes it as "partial 16S ribosomal RNA". It matches the Rfam family "Bacterial small subunit ribosomal RNA", at positions 30 to 507 of the family's 1533-position model. The record is from RNAcentral.
AUUGAACGCUGGCGGCAGGCCUAACACAUGCAAGUCGAACGGUAACAGGAAGCAGCUUGCUGCUUUGCUGACGAGUGGCGGACGGGUGAGUAAUGUCUGGGAAACUGCCCGAUGGCGGGGGAUAACUACUGGAAACGGUAGCUAAUACCGCAUAACGUCGCAAGACCAAAGAGGGGGACCUUAGGGCCUCUUGCCAUCGGAUGUGCCCAGAUGGGAUUAGCUAGUAGGUGGGGUAACGGCUCACCUAGGCAACGAUCCCUAGCUGGUCUGAGAGGAUGACCAGCCACACUGGAACUGAGACACGGUCCAGACUCCUACGGGAGGCAGCAGUGGGGAAUAUUGCACAAUGGGCGCAAGCCUGAUGCAGCCAUGCCGCGUGUAUGAAGAAGGCCUUCGGGUUGUAAAGUACUUUCAGCGGGGAGGAAGGGAGUAAAGUUAAUACCUUUGCUCAUUGACGUUACCCGCAGAAGAAGCACCGGCUAACUCCGUG